This 65-nucleotide transfer RNA is filed under the name uncultured Succinivibrio sp. It matches the Rfam family "tRNA", at positions 5 to 66 of the family's 71-position model. From Rfam's summary of the family: Transfer RNA (tRNA) molecules are approximately 80 nucleotides in length. Their secondary structure includes four short double-helical elements and three loops (D, anti-codon, and T loops). The record is from RNAcentral. Lineage: Bacteria; Pseudomonadati; Pseudomonadota; Gammaproteobacteria; Aeromonadales; Succinivibrionaceae.
GCUAUAGCUCAGUUGGUAGAGCCCUGGAUUGUGAUUCCAGUUGUCGUGGGUUCGAGCCCCUCUAG